This 420-nucleotide long non-coding RNA is filed under the name Calidris pygmaea (Spoon-billed sandpiper). RNAcentral's name for it is "lncRNA (ENSCPGG00000018143.1)". The record is from RNAcentral. Lineage: Eukaryota; Metazoa; Chordata; Aves; Charadriiformes; Scolopacidae.
GAACAUUUUCCCAGUACAACUGGGUAAAAGUUGUUGCUGCUUUUUCACAGAGCAACAUUUGGAGGAAACAAACUGUGACGCUCAGCAAAACACUCCCGAUUCCCCAGAAUGUAAGGACUUCAUUCUUAACAUUGAGCUGGAAAAAGCUGAAAAUGGAAGCCUAGGAUUUGCACUGGUAGGUGGAAGGAACGGCAGGGCUAUCCUAAUAAAAGCCAUCAGCCCCGACAGCAUCGCAGAUCUAGAUGGGAGGCUCCAAGUUGGGGACAUACUACUUAAGGUGAAUGAGACUUUUGUGUCUGGUCUACCACGCCAAACGGUCAUAGAUUUGCUGCGCAAGGCCCGGGGCACUGUUCAACUCACCGUCUGCCGAAGCCUGGCUUUGCAUUGGGCUUAUUCAGGCAACCAGAGCAACAGCACCUC